GUGUCAGCAGCCGCGGUAAUACGUAGGGCGCAAGCGUUAUCCGGAAUUAUUGGGCGUAAAGAGCUCGUAGGCGGUUUGUCGCGUCUGCUGUGAAAGACCGGGGCUCAACUCCGGUUCUGCAGUGGGUACGGGCAGACUAGAGUGCAGUAGGGGAGACUGGAAUUCCUGGUGUAGCGGUGAAAUGCGCAGAUAUCAGGAGGAACACCGAUGGCGAAGGCAGGUCUCUGGGCUGUAACUGACGCUGAGGAGCGAAAGCAUGGGGAGCGAACAGGAUUAGAUACCCUGGUAGUCC
RNAcentral lists this ribosomal RNA (292 nucleotides) under uncultured bacterium. RNAcentral describes it as "partial 16S ribosomal RNA". It matches the Rfam family "Bacterial small subunit ribosomal RNA", at positions 505 to 796 of the family's 1533-position model. The record is from RNAcentral.